Helianthus annuus (common sunflower) is the source of this 2708-nucleotide long non-coding RNA. RefSeq lists it as uncharacterized. The record is from RefSeq and is a predicted model, not a curated record. The transcript has 14 exons. Lineage: Eukaryota; Viridiplantae; Streptophyta; Magnoliopsida; Asterales; Asteraceae.
CGCAUACUAGGGUUUCCAACAUUGAGCGUCUUCUCCAAGCUUCCUCUCUCAAUCUCAAACGUCUGAUAAGGUGAAUGAUUGAUGGCUCAUUCUUUCCUUUUCAAUGUCGCAACAUGUUUCGCUUCGAUUUGUUCAAAUCACAAGUUCUAAUGUGUUGUUUUGCUAUUGAUGAUAUAUUACUGUAAAUGUCUUGCUGAUCAUAUCAGAUCGGGACAAGACAAAGUCCGGAAGCUCUUUGUAUGAUAAUACAGUCCGAUGGUAAAAUUACCAUGGCUGUAGCUACCAGCACUUCAAGAUUCGAUAAUAUAACAAUGGCUCCCACUGACCAAAUUCUUGGAGUUUAUAAAGAAUUCAAAGCUGACACAAGUGAGAUGAAACUGAACCUUGGUGUUGGAGCAUAUCGUACAGAAGAACUUAAACCAUAUGUGCUUAAAGUUGUCAAGAAGGUGAAUUUAGUUUAUCGUCCAUAUUACUAUAAUAUUACUAUAUGUGUAUAUGAGAGCGGCAUAAUAUUGGUGACACAUUUUGUUGCUGAGAAUCUUAUGCUGAAAAGGGGAGAAAACAAGGAGAUUUCUAUGGCAUAGAGGCUUAAUCAUAAUAAUGUCAUUGAGAUACUAGGAUAUUGUGUAGAUGGUGGUUCGAGAUUACUUGCUUACGAGUACGCUUGAAAUGGAAUGUUGUUCAAUGUAAAACCAUCUUUCAUGGUCAAGUAUAUGUGUGUGAAUGGGAACCAUCCUUUGAUGUACGCUCAGAGCCCAACCAAAUUUCAAGCAUCUUAACAUCAUAAUCUUACAUAUAUGUGAUAAGGCUUUAAUCAAGAAAUUGUUUCCUCUUGCAAUGGUUGUUGGAGUUGUUAUUCUAUAUUUUGGGUCAGAAAGAAAAUUUAUUGAUCGGUUUGUUUCAUAGAAUACCAUUAAAUGCAGUCAUAAAACCGAUGUUUUUGGGUUACAAGAUUCGAUAUUCGGGGAGUAAACGCAGUCACACUGAUUUGGGUUGCAUGCGCCUUCAAGAUUAGAAGGUAUCCCCUAAUCGCGACCGGAUUUACCCAAAACCUCACAUUUGAUGAAGACGCUGAGAAAUGUGGGGGCAAAGCGGCCUAAUUGACCCCACGAGGACAAGCCAUUCAUAGGGGUGCACCAAAUAAGGCCAACGUCGCCAUCUCAUAUAUCACAACCUGCGAAUGAAUCGAAAUGGGAACGAGCGAUUCCCGUGAACGUUGGGCCUGUACUGCAUAUCCUCCCUGUGCUGUUUCAUACGACUAUCAACCAGUUUCAAAAAGAUACAAAGAUCCCAACGUGGGUUCCCCUUUGAUUUCCCAGUGAUCAUGGAUCUAAAACGGAACUAAAGGGUCUGGGAUUUUGAGUGUGGUUAAUGUUAGUGGCUGAGUGGCUGAAGCAAGUAGUACAAACUAAAGUCGUUGAUUAGCAAUAUCGAACCUAAUGCUUUAACUCCACCUCUGAGAGGAUUUUAGUGACUUGGCAGUGGAAUAUUGAGUUUGUCCAUCCAAGAAGAAAUAUGGCAUGCUUGGUUGGGUGAGAAAGGGCCAGAUGGUGCCAGAGUUUUAGCAAGAUGCAUUUAACGCCCCAUUAAACAAGAACGCAUGGAGUGGAAUGUCUGGAGUUAGUUUGACUUGAGCAGGGUUGGUUGGUAAGCUGGUGCAAGGGUCCAGCCUUCUUUAGAGUCUUUAAGACUGGAGGGUAUGGAGAGCCUCAUCCCAAGGGGAUGGGCCACCACAUCACCGCCACGUAAGCGGGGCUUGAGGGGGAUGGACCUAGGGGUGGGGGAUGAACCCCUUUAUAUAUAUGUGUGUGUAUGUAUAGUUAUAUGUGAGAGAAGGAGGCACGGCGAGUCCGGCUUGUGGGAGACGGAUGGGACGAGCCGACCCUAUGGGGGGCAGUGUGGGGGACCGGCGCCGGGUCAGGCCGGGCCUAAGCCGGCCCCCAUACCGUUUAGUCUAAGUGACCCACCAUUGCUAUGCAUGCCAUUAUGCACUUCUUUUGGGAUGUGCAUUGCAUCUGGAAGUCUUCUGAGUUCAAUAAUGGAUGACCUUUAGCUUCUUUUGCUAGAAUCCUGAGCCUUGGAAUUGGAGAUAUUAUGGAUGACUUGAUUGAUUUAUAGGCAUCUAUGGUUGGGCAUGAGUAUGGUGUUCUUCGGUGGAGUAAAGCAGGCAGUGAGUUUAACUUAUUCCAGCUACAAAGUUAAUACAUUGAAUAAUUUUCGUCUAUUUUUUUUUUUCAAAAAAAAUGUUGAAGGCACAACUACUAGAAUAACGUUUUCCAACCUGCUUGAUCUGCCAUGCUUCCACUUCUUGCUGCCACAGGACCCAUUUCACUCAGGUGGGUUCAUUCAAGGUAAAUUAGACCAUGCAAACUCCUAAGACAAGGUAUGAGAUCUUAAAUUUCUUUUAUUUAUUACUUUUCUAUUCCGAUAGUAGAUUGUUGGUGGUACAUGAGCUAGACAAAGUCGAAGAUAUUUCGUUCAGUGACGAUUGUUUUUUCAACUGGUCUACAAGGAAUGCCAGGUUAUUGGUUACGAAGCUCCAAAAAGCAAAAUUAUUAGAUUAAUAGGUUAUCCAUUGUUAUUUCGCACAAGAGACACUUAAUUUCAACGUUUAUUUAUGUUUUCAUUAUGAUUAUAUCCAUAGUACGUGGAUUGUCUUAUUUACUUUAUGAACCUUUUGCAUUCGAUAACAAUUUCUUUUAAAGAUU